GUGGGGAAUCUUAGACAAUGGGGGCAACCCUGAUCUAGCCAUGCCGCGUGAGUGAUGAAGGCCUUAGGGUCGUAAAGCUCUUUCGCUGGGGAAGAUAAUGACGGUACCCAGUAAAGAAACCCCGGCUAACUCCGUGCCAGCAGCCGCGGUAAUACGGAGGGGGUUAGCGUUGUUCGGAAUUACUGGGCGUAAAGCGCGCGUAGGCGGAUUGGAAAGUUGGGGGUGAAAUCCCGGGGCUCAACCCUGGAAUGGCCUUCAAAACUCCAAGUCUUGAGGUCGAGAGAGGUGAGUGGAACUCCGAGUGUAGAGGUGAAAUUCGUAGAUAUUCGGAAGAACACCAGUGGCGAAGGCGACACACUGGCUCAUUACUGACGCUGAGGCGCGAAAGCGUGGGGAGCAAACAGGAUUAGAUACCCCAGUAGUCC
This 425-nucleotide ribosomal RNA is filed under the name uncultured bacterium. RNAcentral's name for it is "bacterial SSU rRNA". It matches the Rfam family "Bacterial small subunit ribosomal RNA", at positions 354 to 796 of the family's 1533-position model. The record is from RNAcentral.